This 341-nucleotide long non-coding RNA is filed under the name Rattus norvegicus (Norway rat). RNAcentral describes it as "long non-coding RNA NONRATT032767". Lineage: Eukaryota; Metazoa; Chordata; Mammalia; Rodentia; Muridae. The record is from RNAcentral.
GUGCCUCCCUGGCCGGUCAGAGUUCGAGCUAAUGGAAGCAUCCAGAGGAAAGCCCACCCUCACCUUUGCAGGAAUCAAGACAGAGAGAUCUCGGAAAUGAGUCAGAUCUUGACUUCAAGACACUCUGCAUCUUCAAAUUCAACACUUUAACUAGACAUUUCCCUUACUCUAAGGAAACUGAAUCCCAAAAUGAUUGCUAUCUUUACAUUCUUGGAACCUUAAAACAUACAUGAAGGCAUAAGCAAAAUGUAAUGAUGAGGUCUUAGCUGUAGACUGUAGCCUUUCCAAUGUUCAAUGUCCUAGCAGAAAAGCUAUAAGAACUUGCUUAACUUCCUUAAGAC